ACUUCAUUAGAUGACUGAAAAG
RNAcentral lists this transfer RNA (22 nucleotides) under Diamesa bohemani. RNAcentral's name for it is "partial tRNA-Lys". Lineage: Eukaryota; Metazoa; Arthropoda; Insecta; Diptera; Chironomidae. RNAcentral also lists the same sequence under 7 other names. The record is from RNAcentral.